Molecule: RNase P RNA, 421 nt
Filed under: Muribaculaceae bacterium
Lineage: Bacteria; Pseudomonadati; Bacteroidota; Bacteroidia; Bacteroidales; Muribaculaceae
Description: RNase P RNA component class A
Rfam family: Bacterial RNase P class A
About the family: Ribonuclease P (RNase P) is a ubiquitous endoribonuclease, found in archaea, bacteria and eukarya as well as chloroplasts and mitochondria. Its best characterised activity is the generation of mature 5'-ends of tRNAs by cleaving the 5'-leader elements of precursor-tRNAs.
Source: RNAcentral
GCUGCCGGACGGCUCGUCGCUCGCCGCCCUAUGGUUGCGAGAGGAAAGUCCGGGCAACGCAGAGCACCAUACUUUCUAACGGAAAGCUGUCGGAAAUCCAAGAUAACGGCAGAGUAACGUGACAGAAAAUAACCGCCCGAUGCGAUCUCUUCUUUUCUGGGAAGAGACGCGCGCGGGUAAGGGUGAAAAGGCGGGGUAAAAGCCCACCGGCGCCGAUGGCGACAUCAGCGGCCGCACGUCUUAUGGGUUGCAAGGUCAAGUAUACCGGCAAUUAAGGGUUGCUCGCCCGUUGCCGGGGGGUAGACUGCUAAAGCGCGCGUGGCAACACGCCGCUCAGAUAAAUGACGGGCCGGCACCGGGGUUCGCCUUAUGCGAUAACUCCGGCGACCGACAUAACCCGGCUUAUAGUCCGGCUGUCUCU